This 65-nucleotide transfer RNA is filed under the name Mustela putorius furo (domestic ferret). It matches the Rfam family "tRNA". Rfam says of the family: Transfer RNA (tRNA) molecules are approximately 80 nucleotides in length. Their secondary structure includes four short double-helical elements and three loops (D, anti-codon, and T loops). Lineage: Eukaryota; Metazoa; Chordata; Mammalia; Carnivora; Mustelidae. The record is from Rfam by way of RNAcentral.
GCCUCCUUAGCGCAGUAGGCAGCGCGUCAGUCUCAUAAUCUGAAGGAAAGUGUCCGGAGGAGGUG